ACUACGGGAGGCAGCAGUGGGGGAUAUUGCACAAUGGGGGGAACCCUGAUGCAGCGACGCCGCGUGGGUGAAGAAGCGCCUCGGCGCGUAAAGCCCUGUCAGCAGGGAAGAAAAUGACGGUACCUGAAGAAGAAGCCCCGGCUAACUACGUGCAAGCGGCCGCGGUAAUACGUAGGGGGCAAGCGUUAUCCGGAUUUACUGGGUGUAAAGGGGGCGCAGACGGCGAUGCAAGCCAGGAGUGAAAGCCCGGGGCCCAACCCCGGGACUGCUCUUGGAAGUGCGUGGCUGGAGUGCAGGAGGGGCAGGCGGAAUUCCUGGUGUAGCGGUGAAAUGCGUAGAUAUCAGGAGGAACACCGGUGGCGAAGGCGGCCUGCUGGACUGCAACUGACGUUGAGGCCCGAAAGCGUGGGGAGCAAACAGGAUUAGAUACCCGAGUAGUC
Molecule: ribosomal RNA, 440 nt
Filed under: uncultured bacterium
Lineage: Bacteria
Description: partial 16S ribosomal RNA
Rfam family: Bacterial small subunit ribosomal RNA
Source: RNAcentral